This 344-nucleotide ribosomal RNA is filed under the name uncultured bacterium. RNAcentral describes it as "bacterial SSU rRNA". It matches the Rfam family "Bacterial small subunit ribosomal RNA", at positions 32 to 337 of the family's 1533-position model. The record is from RNAcentral.
AAUCAACGCUGGCGGCGUGCCUCAGACAUGCAAGUCGAACGCGAAAGGCUCCUUCGGGGGCGGACGUAGAGUGGCGGCACGGGUGGAGUAACAACGUAGGUAAGUUUAGUCCUUUCGGGUUGGGGGAAGUAACUACAGGGAAACGUUAGAGCUAAUACCGCAUAAUGCAGCGGCUCGACAUCGAGACAGUUGUUAAAGCGGGGGAGUCGCAAGACCUCGCGCCUGAAGAGAAGCCUGCGGCAGAUUAGCUAGUUGGUAGGGUAAUAGGCCUACCAACGGCGACGAUCUGUAACCGGCCUGAGAGGGCGGUCGGGUCACACUGACACUGACAUACGGGUCAGACU